UGUUCCUUUUUCUCUGUGCCUUGGAACCUCGUUGUCCCAGCCAGAAGCUUUGAUGGGAUGAGCAUUGACCGUGAGGCUAUCUGAAAUUGAGUCUGUAGAAAAGAAUCUCAAUGCUUUUUCAAAGUUUCCUCAGCCUUUCACUAAGACUGCCUUAACAUUUAGCUCGCUUUUGAGGUCUGCAUUGGUUUAGGAUUGAAAAGUAGAGAAUGUUUCUCUUUAGGACUGUUCGUUUGGUUGCCGCAGGUACCGGCGGCAGCGGCAGCGUCAACAUUCUGCGUCAACUCUUGUUCGUUUCGUUGACGCAGGAAACUGCGUCUGACGCCGCGUCCUGCGGCUGACGCCGCGUCCUGCGGCUGACGCCGAUAAAAUCUGCGGUCGCGAUAUAGUAUGCGGCAGCGGCAGCGGCAGCGUCUGCAUCUGCGAAACGAACAACAACUGUUCUCAUUGACGCUGCCGCCGCCGCUGACGCCGAAACCUGCGGCAACCAAACGAACAGGAAUUUUGUGACAAAAAAAAAGAGAGAGAGAAUGGUUUUCUCAUGUUAAAAUGGCGUGUUAAAAAAAAGGAGUGGUGGAAUGGCUGUAAGAAGAUUGUAGUCAAGUCUGUACGAUGUGGAAACGGUUUGCUUGUGAUGAGCUUGAGGUGCUCAACACCAACUCUUCUUCCUUGCUACCUUGUUUGAUGGUUACUUCAUGUUCAUACAGUGAUGAAUCUGAUGAUGAGAUUGACUGUGAACCUGAGUCUUUUCUGAUGAGUAACGUGGGUUUGGCUGAGACUGCCCUAUAUGAAGUGAGGCACAAGUUUUGUUGUUGUUGAUAAACUGAUUGAGAUAUUGGAUCUGUUUGUUGAUGAUAACAGGAAGAUAUCAGGAAUCAAGUAUCAGAUGUCGGAGCGGAAAUAAUGAAAGAGAUGGAAUCGUCUCUCGCUCAAAGAAACUAGGAAAGAAGUGGAACCUAAACGUGAUCUACGAAAAGUCUACAUUGAAUGCUCAAGCUGGUGGGUAGCUAUCUUCUUCUAAACACCUAUUGGUAAAUCAAUCCAAGCUGCAGAAAGUGCUUUGACAUUGGAGAAGCACAGGUUGAAGAAGCUGGAAGAGUUAGAAGCAGUGAACCAGUCUCUAAAAUCAUGUUCAAAUGAGGACUUUAGCAUCUUUGAAAAAACAAAUUGCAAGGGCCAUAAAGCAAAUAAGGGCAACAAAGGAUAAUGUAAGAUAGUCUCCACUCAAGACCCUUUUGCAGGCAGCUACGUCAUCCUUUAUGUCACCUCGCAGCAAUGGAUAUUGUUCUUGCUGAUUUUUACAAAGCUUGCAUUUACACUGUCCCAAAGCAUAUUAUUAGCUCACAUUCAGGUUGGGACUCAGACGCAUAUCACCGCCUAGCUUCUACGGUGAGACGCUACGGUGCACUUGUCCAGACCGAUAUUUGCGGUGGCAAUGCUCAUAACAUUCAUGGGAUUGAACAUGGAUGGGCUUGGUUUGCCCGGUUCCUUAACAAAAUCUCAGCCUACAGAUGCUACUACAACAGCCUUAAACGCAUUUCUCCAGACGGCAGGGUUUGGUCUAUUCAUCAGAGGUACAAAUCUCAGUUCUUAAAAGCUGCGAACGUUGUCAGAGAGCAUUUCUUGCCAAAGUUGAGGGCGAAAAAGGACGCAGCGAAUCUACAGACGAUCAUAACCGAUAUAACAGCGUACUUGGAUUACCAGAUGUAUGUAUCUCAAGGAACCUAUAGGAAGAACUAGAUCAGCAGAAUCAACAUCACCAUGGGAAUUAUUGCAGAGGUUAUCAUUGAAUUUAUGUAUCAUGCGUUAAAUAAAACUUAUCAAUUUUCUUUAGGCUGUUGUAACAUAUAAUGUUACACCAAUUAUUUGAAAAAUCAGUCACAAGAAGCUGAAUCAAGG
This is an RNA transcript of Brassica oleracea var. oleracea, 1896 nucleotides long. It is a transcript of the gene named protein GLE1-like, with no coding region annotated. The record is from RefSeq and is a predicted model, not a curated record. NCBI's taxonomy places the organism in Eukaryota, Viridiplantae, Streptophyta, Magnoliopsida, Brassicales, Brassicaceae. The transcript has 9 exons.